UCGAGUGCCAGGUUACAAAUCUGGCUGUCGUGAUGCCUAAAAAGCAUUAUAUAGCAAGGGCCGGGCAAGACCGGUGCCAGCCGCCGCGGUAACACCGGCGGCUCGAGUGGUAACCGUUAUUAUUGGGUCUAAAGGGUCUGUAGCCGGCCGGAUAAGUCUCUUGGGAAAUCUGGCAGCUNAACUGUCAGGCUUUCAGGGGAUACUGUCUGGCUCGAGGCCGGGAGAGGUGAGAGGUACUUCAGGGGUAGGGGUGAAAUCUUGUAAUCCUUGAAGGACCACCAGUGGCGAAGGCGUCUCACCAGAACGGACCUGACGGCAAGGGACGAAAGCUAGGGGCACGAACCGGAUUAGAUACCCGGGUAGUCCUAGCCGUAAACGAUACUCGCUAGGUGUCGGCCACGGUGCGACCGUUGUCGGUGCCGUAGGGAAGCCGUGAAGCGAGCCACCUGGGAAGUACGGCCGCAAGGCUGAAACUUAAAGGAAUUGGC
Molecule: ribosomal RNA, 488 nt
Filed under: uncultured archaeon
Lineage: Archaea
Description: bacterial SSU rRNA
Rfam family: Archaeal small subunit ribosomal RNA
Source: RNAcentral